GGUUGUGGCUCAGUGGCAGAGUGUCUGCCUGGCACAUGUGAGGCACUGGGUUCAAUCCACAGCACACCA
Molecule: transfer RNA, 69 nt
Filed under: Marmota monax (woodchuck)
Lineage: Eukaryota; Metazoa; Chordata; Mammalia; Rodentia; Sciuridae
Description: tRNA.Ala
Source: RNAcentral